Molecule: ribosomal RNA, 493 nt
Filed under: uncultured bacterium
Lineage: Bacteria
Description: bacterial SSU rRNA
Rfam family: Bacterial small subunit ribosomal RNA
Source: RNAcentral
GGUAGGGUAAUGGCCUACCAAGCCUAAGACGGGUAGCUGGUCUGAGAGGAUGAUCAGCCACACUGGAACUGAGACACGGUCCAGACUCCUACGGGAGGCAGCAGUGGGGAAUCUUGCGCAAUGGGCGAAAGCCUGACGCAGCGACGCCGCGUGAGUGAUGAAGGCCUUCGGGUUGUAAAGCUCUGUGGGGAGAGACGAAUAAGGCAUGGCUAAUAUCCACGCUGAUGACGGUAUCUCCUUAGCAAGCACCGGCUAACUCUGUGCCAGCAGCCGCGGUAAUACAGAGGGUGCAAACGUUGCUCGGAAUUAUUGGGCGUAAAGCGCAUGUAGGCGGCAUGGUAAGUCGACUGUGAAAGCCCUUGGCUCAACCAAGGAAGUGCAGUCGAAACUGCCAAGCUUGAGUCCCGAAGAGGGUGGCAGAAUGGCCAGUGUAGAGGUGAAAUUCGUAGAUAUUGGCUAGAAUACCAGUGGCGAAGGCGGCCACCUGGGAGGG